RNAcentral lists this ribosomal RNA (504 nucleotides) under uncultured bacterium. RNAcentral describes it as "partial 16S ribosomal RNA". It matches the Rfam family "Bacterial small subunit ribosomal RNA", at positions 29 to 523 of the family's 1533-position model. The record is from RNAcentral.
AUUAAACGCUGGCGGCAGGCCUAACACAUGCAAGUCGAACGGUAGCACAGAGAGCUUGCUCUCGGGUGACGAGUGGCGGACGGGUGAGUAAUGUCUGGGAAACUGCCCGAUGGAGGGGGAUAACUACUGGAAACGGUAGCUAAUACCGCAUAACGUCGCAAGACCAAAGUGGGGGAACUUCGGGCCUCACACCAUCGGAUGUGCCCAGAGUGGGAUUGGCUAGUAGGUGGGGUAAUGGCUCACCUAGGCGACGAUCCCUAGCUGGUCUGAGAGGAGGACCAGGCACACAGGAACUGCGACACGGUCCAGACUCCUACGGGAGGCAGCAGUGGGGAAUAUUGCGCAGGGGGCGCAAGCCUGAUGCAGCCAUGCCGCGUGUAUGAAGAAGGCCUUCAGGUUGUAAAGUACUUUCAGCGGGGAGGAAGGCGGUGAAGUUAAUAACUUCACCGAUUGACGUUACCCGCAGAAGAAGCACCGGCUAACUCCGUGCCAGCCGCGCCGUAA